UCAGCUGGAUAGCUUCAAUCCCUUGAUCUCUCUCUUCCUCUAGCUACAUAGCUGGAUCUACUGCACACUUCAUCAAUGUUUUCUUCUAAUCGGGCAGUGCUUUCUGUUGCUAUCAGCAUUGCACUGUCCAUGGGGCCACCAGUGAUGGCUGACUUGCAGGACAAUUGCCGCACGAUUUGUCGCCCUAAGUGCGAUGACUUCGCUAUUGAGGUGUGCACAAGUCUCACUAAUAUUGUCCCUAUCCUUAAUAAUGUUGAUUUUUUCUUUAGGACGUGCAAAGUGCGGAUCUCUGCACCAUGUACGUCCCUCUGCAUCAACAUCUGCAGCCUGGAUACCCUGACGCCGGCACCGCGGGCCAGCCCCCCAUCACCACCGUGCAAGCCAUACUGAUGCCUGCAAGUUACUUCUUAAAUAUUACUAAUCAGUAAGCGUAAUGUCUCUAUGUAAUAAAGUGCCCUUGCUCCCGGUAUAUGCUUGCCGGCUAGAGGAUCGAAGAGUAGAUGAAUCAACGAGGUCAUCAGUGUUCUCAUGCU
RNAcentral lists this long non-coding RNA (533 nucleotides) under Setaria viridis. Its description in RNAcentral is "long non-coding RNA (SVIR_LNC009956)". The record is from RNAcentral. Lineage: Eukaryota; Viridiplantae; Streptophyta; Magnoliopsida; Poales; Poaceae.